UGUCCCCUGCGGUGUUGGUGUUUGGCCAUAUACUCUUCGAACCAAUAUCGUACACCUAGGUUGCCGGGCCAAUGACGAUGCCGGUGUGCGCGUCCUUCGUCGGAAGCGCCUAAUGGAUCGGGCAGGUGACCGCCUUGAACCUUAGGUUCAAGAUGAGGGCCACACCUCUCUGGCGGGGGACUC
This 183-nucleotide non-coding RNA is filed under the name Burkholderiales bacterium. RNAcentral's name for it is "6S RNA". It matches the Rfam family "6S / SsrS RNA". Rfam says of the family: E. coli 6S RNA was the first non coding RNA to be sequenced, but its function was unknown until recently. It consists of 184 nucleotides that fold into an extended hairpin structure with a large single-stranded internal bulge. The 6S RNA specifically associates with RNA polymerase holoenzyme containing the sigma70 specificity factor. Lineage: Bacteria; Pseudomonadati; Pseudomonadota; Betaproteobacteria; Burkholderiales. The record is from RNAcentral.